This 406-nucleotide ribosomal RNA is filed under the name uncultured bacterium. Its description in RNAcentral is "partial 16S ribosomal RNA". It matches the Rfam family "Bacterial small subunit ribosomal RNA", at positions 30 to 526 of the family's 1533-position model. The record is from RNAcentral.
AUUGAACGCUGGCGGCAGGCCUAACACAUGCAAGUCGAACGAGUGGCGGACGGGUGAGUAAGGGCUGGGCAACUGCCUGAUGGCGGGGGGUAACUACUGGAAACGGUAGCUAAUACCGCAUAACAUCAGUUGUUCCCAGAUUGGAGUAGCUAGUUGGUGGGGUAACGGCUCACCAAGGCGACGCUCCCUAGCUGGUCUGAGAGGAUGACCAGCCACACUGGAACUGAGACACGGUCCAGACUCCUACGGGAGGCAGCAGUGGGGAAUAUUGCACAAUGGGGGCAAGCCUGAUGCAGCCAUGCCGCGGGUAUGAAGAAGGCCUUCGGGUUGUAAAGUACUUUCAGCGGGGAAGCGUUACCCGCAGAAGAAGCACCGGCUAACUCCGUGCCAGCAGCCGCGGUAAUAC